AGAAUGUGGAGAUCAUUCCCACGUUGAAAUGGUGAAGAAAUAUACAAACGAAAGAACAAUUAUUCAGACAACCGCUGUUUUAACACUUCAGUCUGGUAAACGCAUCUGAUCUAAGAACAUUUCCGAAUGGUAGUCUGAAUUAUCCAUUCUAACAACAUACGUCUUUGAUCUCCAUGACUAUCCAGCAGACGGACCGGCAACCGCAGAGAGGGACAACAAAGGCAGACACUUGUAAAUAUCUACAUGGAGGUAUAUUUGAACCUCUACCCGGAGGUGAAGCCUUGGGAGGAGGAAGAUCUUCAAGAGGUGGAGCCUCUGGGGAAGGAGUCUCUGUAGGUGAAGGCUCUGGAGUUGGAGAAGGAGGUGGUGGAGAAGACAAAAAGAAAACAAAGUGCAUCAGGUUUUUCAGGUCCAGGACCAGCUCUUCCAACCUCCCCAAGGAUGACAGAGCCCCACCUGAGCUGCCUGCAUCUCUCACACACACA
Oncorhynchus keta (chum salmon) is the source of this 485-nucleotide long non-coding RNA. RefSeq lists it as uncharacterized. The record is from RefSeq and is a predicted model, not a curated record. The transcript has 3 exons. NCBI's taxonomy places the organism in Eukaryota, Metazoa, Chordata, Actinopteri, Salmoniformes, Salmonidae.